CGGGUGAGUAACACGUGAGCAACCUGCCUUUCAGAGGGGGACAACAGUUGGAAACGACUGCUAAUACCGCAUAAAAUAACGGAACCGCAUGAUUCUGUUAUCAAAGCAGAAAUCCGCUGAAAGAUGGGCUCGCGUCUGAUUAGAUAGUUGGUGAGGUAACGGCCCACCAAGUCGACGAUCAGUAGCCGGACUGAGAGGUUGAACGGCCACAUUGGGACUGAGACACGGCCCAGACUCCUACGGGAGGCAGCAG
This 253-nucleotide ribosomal RNA is filed under the name uncultured bacterium. RNAcentral describes it as "partial 16S ribosomal RNA". It matches the Rfam family "Bacterial small subunit ribosomal RNA", at positions 103 to 354 of the family's 1533-position model. The record is from RNAcentral.